CCUACGGGUGGCUGCAGUGAGGAAUAUUGGUCAAUGGCAGGAAUCCUGAACCAGCCAUGCCGCGUGCAGGACGACGGCUCUACGAGUUGUAAACUUCUUUUGUAAAGGGGUAAAAUGAGCUACGAGUGGGUGUUUGAGAGUACGGGACGAAUAAGGAUCGGCUAACUCCGUGCCAGCAGCCGCGGUAAUACGGAGGAUCCGAGCGUUAUCCGGAUUCAUUGGGUUUAAAGGGUGCGUAGGUUGUUUUGUAAGUUAGUGGUGAAAUACCGGUGCUCAACAUCGGGGCAGCCGUUGAUACUGUAGGACUAGAGAUCGGAUGCAGCAGGCGGAAUGUGUAGUGUAGCGGUGAAAUGCAUAGAUAUUACGCAGAACACCGAUUGCGAAGGCAGCUUGCUGGGCCGGAUCUGACACUGAUGCACGAAAGCGUGGGGAUCGAACAGGAUUAGAUACCCUAGUAGUC
This 460-nucleotide ribosomal RNA is filed under the name uncultured bacterium. Its description in RNAcentral is "partial 16S ribosomal RNA". It matches the Rfam family "Bacterial small subunit ribosomal RNA", at positions 338 to 795 of the family's 1533-position model. The record is from RNAcentral.